Molecule: ribosomal RNA, 1641 nt
Filed under: fungal sp. SUN2
Lineage: Eukaryota; Fungi
Description: eukaryotic LSU rRNA
Rfam family: Eukaryotic large subunit ribosomal RNA (bases 842-1641)
Source: RNAcentral
UCGCUCUUCAACGAGGAAUCCCUAGUAAGCGCGAGUCAUCAGCUCGCGUUGAUUACGUCCCUGCCCUUUGUACACACCGCCCGUCGCUACUACCGAUUGAAUGGCUUAGUGAGACCUUCGGAUUGGAGGUAGGUUUCUGGCAACAGUAGCCAGCUUCUGAGAAGUUGGUCAAACUUGGUCAUUUAGAGGAAGUAAAAGUCGUAACAAGGUUUCCGUAGGUGAACCUGCGGAAGGAUCAUUAAUAAAUGCUCUAUUGCAUCCACCUUUUGUGCACUGUAAAUAUUUCACUUAAAUUUUGUCUGAUUAAUCUUUGUUCUGAAUGGAACAUAAAUUGUAAUCAAAAACAACUUUUAACAAUGGAUCUCUUGGCUCUCGCAUCGAUGAAGAACGCAGCGAAAUGCGAUAAGUAAUGUGAAUUGCAGAAUUCAGUGAAUCAUCGAAUCUUUGAACGCAUAUUGCGCUCUCUGGCAUUCCGGAGAGCAUGCCUGUUUGAGUAUUGGUCUCAUGGGUAACCACACUUCGGGAUGAAAUGUAAAUACCUCGUAAUAGAAGUCGAUUCUACGUCAGACAUUAUUCAUGUCAAUCGUUUAAAGUCCUUCAACAAUUAUGUGGUUUUAAUGGAUCGAAGCAAAAAAUUCUUAAAGAAAAAACCCUGUUGAGGCAUCUUGGCAUUGUCAAGUACCUUAAAAUGCAAUAGUACAGCGAGAACAACCACUAUGAAGUAAUAUGUGACCUGAAAGGGUGACUAGUAUUUCUUCUCAGUUGGAUUUGAACACGUUGUUGUUGUUUGAAAGCGUGGUGGUUCUGCUUCGCAAGUUCGAGUAACGCCGAACAAAAAUCUCAAUCUCAAAUCGGGUAGGAUUACCCGCUGAACUUAAGCAUAUUAAUAAGCGGAGGAAAAGAAACUAACAAGGAUUCCCCUAGUAACGGCGAGUGAAGCGGGAAGAGCUCAAAUUUGGAAUCUGGGCAGGUCUCCUGCUCCGAGUUGUAAUCUAUAGACGUGUUUUCGGUGGUUGUGUUGGUAUAAAUCCUUUGGAACAGGGUAUCAUAGAGGGUGAAAAUCCCGUCUUUGGCUGACAUACAACUGCCAUGUGAUACAUGUUCAAAGAGUCGCAUUGUUUGGGAAUGCAGUGCAAAUUGGGUGGUAAAUUUCAUCCAAAGCUAAAUAAUGGCGAGAGACCGAUAGCGAACAAGUACCGUGAGGGAAAGAUGAAAAGAACUUUGAAAAGAGAGUUAAAUAGUACGUGAAAUUGUUAAAAGGGAAACGCAUGAAAUCAGUAAUCUUUGCAGCAAAUCAACCGGCCGUUGUGCGAUUCUUCGUGCAUGGGACGGUGCACUUUGCUGCAAAGGAGUCAACAUCAGUUUGGGCUGAUGGAUAUACCUCCGCGGAAGGUAACCACAUCUGUGGUGUUUAGCCGCGGUAGGCAAAAAUACAUCGGUCUGGACUGAGGUCUGCAGCACACUUAUUGCGGGACAGCCCGGUGCUGUUGAUGUCUCUGUGGCCCUCAACUUGUUGAGUGUCAUAAAGAAAGCGGCACCCACCGGGGACUGUUACUUUUGUGCUUAGGAUGUUGACAAAAUGGUUUUAUACGACCCGUCUUGAAACACGGACCAAGGAGUCUAACAUAUAUGCGAGUGUUU